This 468-nucleotide ribosomal RNA is filed under the name uncultured bacterium. RNAcentral's name for it is "partial 16S ribosomal RNA". It matches the Rfam family "Bacterial small subunit ribosomal RNA", at positions 28 to 507 of the family's 1533-position model. The record is from RNAcentral.
GACGAACGCUGGCGGCGUGCUUAACACAUGCGAGUCGAACGGAAAGGCCCUGCUUUUGUGGGGUGCUCGAGUGGCGAACGGGUGAGUAACACGUGAGUAACCUGCCCUUGACUUUGGGAUAACUUCAGGGAACUGGGGCUAAUACCGGAUAGGAGCUCCUGCUGCAUGGUGGGGGUUGGAAAGUUUCGGCGGUUGGGGAUGGACUCGCGGCUUAUCAGCUUGUUGGUGGGGUAGUGGCUUACCAAGGCUUUGACGGGUAGCCGGCCUGAGAGGGUGACCGGCCACAUUGGGACUGAGAUACGGCCCAGACUCCUACGGGAGGCAGCAGUGGGGAAUAUUGCACAAUGGGCGGAAGCCUGAUGCAGCAACGCCGCGUGCGGGAUGACGGCCUUCGGGUUGUAAACCGCUUUCGCCUGUGACGAAGCGUGAGUGACGGUAAUGGGUAAAGAAGCACCGGCUAACUACGUG